CGGCGUCGAGCGGCGGACGGGUGAGUAAUGCCUAGGAAAUUGCCCUGGUGUGGGGGAUAACCAUUGGAAACGAUGGCUAAUACCGCAUAAUACCUACGGGUCAAAGAGGGGGACCUUCGGGCCUCUCGCGUCAGGAUAUGCCUAGGUGGGAUUAGCUAGUUGGUGAGGUAAUGGCUCACCAAGGCGACGAUCCCUAGCUGGUCUGAGAGGAUGAUCAGCCACACUGGAACUGAGACACGGUCCAGACUCCUACGGGAGGCAGCAGUGGGGAAUAUUGCACAAUGGGCGCAAGCCUGAUGCAGCCAUGCCGCGUGUGUGAAGAAGGCCUUCGGGUUGUAAAGCACUUUCAGUCGUGAGGAAGGUAGUGUAGUUAAUAGCUGCAUUAUUUGACGUUAGCGACAGAAGAAGCACCGGCUAACUCCGUGCCAGCAGCCGCGGUAAUACGGAGGGUGCGAGCGUUAAUCGGAAUUACUGGGCGUAAAGCGCAUGCAGGUGGUUUGUUAAGUCAGAUGUGAAAGCCCGGGGCUCAACCUCGGAAUAGCAUUUGAAACUGGCAGACUAGAGUACUGUAGAGGGGGGUAGAAUUUCAGGUGUAGCGGUGAAAUGCGUAGAGAUCUGAAGGAAUACCGGUGGCGAAGGCGGCCCCCUGGACAGAUACUGACACUCAGAUGCGAAAGCGUGGGGAGCAAACAGGAUUAGAUACCCUGGUAGUCCACGCCGUAAACGAUGUCUACUUGGAGGUUGUGGCCUUGAGCCGUGGCUUUCGGAGCUAACGCGUUAAGUAGACCGCCUGGGGAGUACGGUCGCAAGAUUAAAACUCAAAUGAAUUGACGGGGGCCCGCACAAGCGGUGGAGCAUGUGGUUUAAUUCGAUGCAACGCGAAGAACCUUACCUACUCUUGACAUCCAGAGAACUUUCCAGAGAUGGAUUGGUGCCUUCGGGAACUCUGAAAACAGGGGCUGCAUGGCUGUCGUCAGCUCGUGUUGUGAAAUGUUGGGUUAAGUCCC
RNAcentral lists this ribosomal RNA (1007 nucleotides) under Vibrio sp. RNAcentral's name for it is "bacterial SSU rRNA". It matches the Rfam family "Bacterial small subunit ribosomal RNA", at positions 86 to 1088 of the family's 1533-position model. Lineage: Bacteria; Pseudomonadati; Pseudomonadota; Gammaproteobacteria; Vibrionales; Vibrionaceae. The record is from RNAcentral.